Molecule: long non-coding RNA, 805 nt
Organism: Chinchilla lanigera (long-tailed chinchilla)
Lineage: Eukaryota; Metazoa; Chordata; Mammalia; Rodentia; Chinchillidae
Exons: 5
Source: RefSeq, a predicted model, not a curated record
GUCACUGAGCCCCAGAACAACACGGAGGGCAGAGGUGGAGGUACUGGUUUAAGUCCUGGAAUCCACUGUCUGAAGGCUGCAGUGUGUGAGGGCAGCACAGGGAGAGAGAAUUCACCCUGCCUCUGCCUUUUUGUUCUGUUCCUGCCCUCAGUGGCCCAGCUGAUGCCUGCACACGUUGGUCAGGGCAGAUUAUCUUCAGUGGGUUGUCCACUAAUGCUAAUGUUGAUUUCUUCUGGAAACGUCUGUACAGACACACCCAGAAAUGCCGGGAUCCCAGCUUUCCAUCCCUCUAAGAGGUCAAUUUCAUCCUUCCCUACAAGAAUCAGGAAAAUAAAUGUUACUUAAAGCAGAUGGUGCUACUGUCUCCGACGCAUAGCUAGCUUUAUUCCAUUUGUCAGAACGUGUGUUAGAGGGAAAACCACGGGGGUGGCAUCAUCACGAAGAGUUGGAGCUCAAGCACUGGAAACCCGCUAAGAACUCAGCUGCCUGAGUCAAUAUCGUGCGGUAAGAGCAAGCCUGAAAUUCAAGGUGAGAGAGCUGCUGAGGCCAGGCAUGAGCACCGCUGAGGGAGGGAGGUGGCUCCCAGCAGGAAUAGCCAAGUACCGCCUAUGCUUACUCGACAUCUUGAAGAUGAAAUGAGGAGCAGCAGAGAUUCCCUGAGCCGACUUCACCCACUCUCCCAGAGGCAUUUGGUAGCAUGGUGGAGCCAGGAAUAGGUGGUCAGAGUCCUGACCUCAAUUUUCGCAUCAGAGUUGGUUAAAGAAGAAAAAUAUGAUGAAAUUCUCUGUGGGAAGGGAGGGUUUAU